Molecule: small RNA, 77 nt
Filed under: uncultured Mantoniella
Lineage: Eukaryota; Viridiplantae; Chlorophyta; Mamiellophyceae; Mamiellales
Description: partial Alphaproteobacteria transfer-messenger RNA
Source: RNAcentral
AGGCGACAAUGUUUUGCAUUGACAGCGGCGGCAGCAGCGGCAGCGGCGGGAGAGAAGGCGAGGGAGGUGGACGCAUG